This is a long non-coding RNA of Erinaceus europaeus (western European hedgehog), 1185 nucleotides long. RefSeq lists it as uncharacterized. The transcript is spliced from 3 exons. NCBI's taxonomy places the organism in Eukaryota, Metazoa, Chordata, Mammalia, Eulipotyphla, Erinaceidae. The record is from RefSeq and is a predicted model, not a curated record.
GAGGUGCAGGCAUGUGGCCUCCUCCCGCCCCUGCCGUCCUGUCCUGUGUUGUCCCUGCUCACUGUGGCCGUGCCCCCACGACACCUGGCUCCAGGGCGGUCAGCUGGCCUGGGCCUCCCUGCCCCGCUCCAGCCCCGGGACGCCCGGCAGCUGGGCCUCUGUGCUCUCUGUAGUUCUGAAAGCUGGUUUGUGGGGCCUGCGGCCAGCACGCUCAACACCGGGCGGACUGUCCGCUGGCUUACAAAGGUCCCUCAGUGUCCGCUGGGGCUGGGGUCAGGGCAAGGGGGGGCGGGGCAUCGCCUUCCAGAAGCUUCCAGGGGCUAAAGACAGCUUGCUGGGCAGGUGAAGUGCCAAACUGCAGCUGUCGGAAACACUGUCAGCCUGAAGCUGUGGAAUGGUGUGAGACCCUGGCCCUCUGAAUAAAACAAGAGAAGCUUCUAGUCUAGCCCAGCAUGUGGGACGAGCCUGUGGGGCAAGAGAGGCAGGCGCCCCUGGACCUGCAUCGCUGCCUGGCCUGCUUGAGCCACGACCCCGACUUAGCAUCCCGAGUCAGUGUGUCUGUCCAUACCCCGGCCCAGCACCUCAGACCUGCCUCCCUGAGGCCACAUCCCCGCCCUCACAUCGCUGAACAAGACGCCUCAGAGAUUCAUGCCUGUCCCACCCAGUUCAGCAUCUCCCCGCCCAGAACCCACAUCCCGAGAUCGCUGAGCCCAGUGUCCCACCACGGGCUUCCCCACAGAUGCCGGCUGGGCCAUCUGGUUCGGCGCUGCUUCAACUUUUGAAGAGUCUGAAAACUUAACAACUAGAAAUUCUAAAGUUUCAAGUUGGCAGGUCUGGGUCCCCCCUCCUCUGUUCGCAGUUCCAGUGUCCUGGGGAAAUGCCACAAGUGCUUGAGCCCCAAAUGUCAAAUGCAAACAAAGGGAAUUAAAGAGCCAAGUAUACAAGACUUCUGAGGCAGUUGGCGCGUAAUCAGAGAGAGGUUGUUCUAUGUGGGGUGGACACUCAGGGCUGGUGGCACACACACAUCGCCAUGCACAGGGACCCUGGUUCAAGCCCCUGUUCCCUACCUGUGAGGGGGAAGCCUCCCUCCCUCUGUUCCCAUCUCUACCAGGAAUAAAUGAAUGAAUCUUUAAAAGUUUUGCGUGUGAUCUUUGAAAAAGUGAAGUCUGGUUUUCUCCAGAGCAU